CCUACGGGUGGCAGCAGUCGAGAAUCUUUCACAAUGGGGGAAACCCUGAUGGUGCGACGCCGCGUGGGGGAAUGAAGGUCUUCGGAUUGUAAACCCCUGUCAUGUGGGAGCAAAUUAAAAAGAUAGUACCACAAGAGGAAGAGACGGCUAACUCUGUGCCUGCGGCCGCGGUAAUACAGAGGUCUCACGCGUUGUUCGGAAUCACUGGGCGUAACGCGUGCGUAGGCUGUUUCGUAGGUCGUGUGAAAGGCGCGGGCUCAACUCGCGGACGGCACAAGAUACUGCGGGACUAGAGUCAAGGAGAGGGAAGCGGAAGUCUCGGUGUAGCAGUGAAAUGCGUAGAUAUCGAGAGGAACACUCGUGGCGAAGGCGGGUUCCUGGACAUUAACUGACGCUGAGGCACGAAGGCCAGGGGAGCGAAAGGGAUUAGAUACCCCGGUAGUC
This 444-nucleotide ribosomal RNA is filed under the name uncultured bacterium. RNAcentral describes it as "partial 16S ribosomal RNA". It matches the Rfam family "Bacterial small subunit ribosomal RNA", at positions 338 to 795 of the family's 1533-position model. The record is from RNAcentral.